RNAcentral lists this ribosomal RNA (264 nucleotides) under uncultured bacterium. RNAcentral's name for it is "partial 16S ribosomal RNA". It matches the Rfam family "Bacterial small subunit ribosomal RNA", at positions 92 to 354 of the family's 1533-position model. The record is from RNAcentral.
CGACCGGCGCACGGGUGAGUAACGCGUAUCCAACCUGCCCUUUACUAUGGGACAGCCCGUCGAAAGGCGGAUUAAUACCGUAUGUUGUCAUGUUGAUGCAUAUUUUCAUGACCAAAGGCUUCGGCCGGUAAAGGAUGGGGAUGCGUCUGAUUAGCUUGCCGGCGGGGUAACGGCCCACCGUGGCGACGAUGCGUAGGGGUUCUGAGAGGAAGGCCCCCCACACUGGGACUGAGACACGGCCCAGACUCCUACGGGAGGCAGCAG